Long non-coding RNA from Elgaria multicarinata webbii, 2067 nucleotides. RefSeq lists it as uncharacterized. The record is from RefSeq and is a predicted model, not a curated record. NCBI's taxonomy places the organism in Eukaryota, Metazoa, Chordata, Lepidosauria, Squamata, Anguidae. The transcript is spliced from 3 exons.
CAUAUUUUUAGAUUAAAAAAAAAAACACAUUGGAAAAGUAGCAGGAAUAACCAAGAAGCAGAAUUGGUGUAUGUGUGUAUUGAAUGAGAUCCCAAAAUUUAUUCAGCUCAGCCUGCAAAUGUUUUUUGCACUCCUUGGAGAAAAAACAUGGAUGACAGGCGAUUCAGAAAAUUUCUAGUUCCCCACAAAGUCAUUCUCACUGGCUCUACGUUGCUUCCUUCCAAUUCGUGUCCCUGUCUAGGGCGGACUGGGAGGCACAGCCUCAAGAAAGGACGUCUGCGUUCCCUGCGCACAGCCUCCGUGUGUCCUACCAAGCUCAGAGGUCCCCAUAGUUCUGCUGUACAUAUAAAGAAGGGUCAAUGCGUGCAAGAUCUUGCAAAGAGUGAAGACCGAUAGAACAGGGAUGGGCCAUCGCUUCAGUAGAAGAACCCUGAUUUAUAUACAGAAGGUCUCAGGUUCGAUUCCUGGCAUCUCCAGUUGGGAACGGUCCAGUAGCAGAACUUAGAAAAGGCCCUUUCUGUCGAAAACAGUGGAGUGGCAUGGAAUACAUGGACAAAGAGUCGGACCUGGAUUUUGCAAGGCAUCCAAACGGCGUCCUCUGCUCAUAACUCUCCCGUGUUUUCCUGCACAGAAAAAUCAGUUGAGGAGGAAAAAGACGGAAGAGUUGCGACAGGACCCUGCUGUCUGGAAAUGCCCACCGAGGCCUCCCAGGGCUAACCAGCCAAAAGGCAGCGCUUCUGUCUUUUCCUCCUUCGGGGAUUUUUUUUCCUGAGAAGAUAAAAGAUGUAAGAAGCUGUGUGAAUUAAAUGUGGAAAGGUUACCAGUGGCAAGACUUGCACCCUCAUCCUGCGAAUGAAGCCGGGAAACGGCCUGCUGACUGCCUCAUCUGUCUCACACACAGACUGUGGGAUCCGGGUACAUUUUGAAGCACAGGGGAUCAACAUGGCUGCACCCCAAAGCCCUGCCCUAAGGAAGGCCUCAAAACCCAGGCAGCUAAGUUGACUGAUAUCUCCACGAGGAGCAUCAUUAUUAUUAUUAUUAUUAUUAUUAUUAUUAUUAUUAUUAUUAUUAUUAUUAUUAUUCACUGUAACACUGUAAGGACGGCUAGUGGGGCCGUUUGGCAGUGAUGCAUGAUGGGUCCUGGAGUCAGGUCAAGAUGCUGAGACUGCAAUGCUGCCUAGCUGCAAGAGGCAGAGUGUCAAUGGGGCUGAGGAGAUUUCGGAGCAGACCACAGACACUGAGGUGGCAGGGUUCACUAUCUGAGCAGGAAACGGCCAUCCCAACACUUUUGCCAGAUUCCUGGCCAUUGGCAAGCAGGGAUACCUUCCCCAGAAGCCCAAGAACAUCAGAAGGGCCCUGAGGCUGGAUCAGACCAAGGGUCCAUCUAGUCCAGCACUCUGUUCCCACAGGGACCAAGGCGCAGAGCCCACCUGUGGCUGUGCAACUCUCGCCUUAUUCACCAGGGACACCUUCUCCAAAGGCCCAGUGCCUGAGAAGCAAAGGCCUUCUGUAGCAUUACACGGGAACCCGGCAAGUUCCCAGGUGAUUUUCCCACAUGAGGCCAAGUCCCAGUGUAACAGGACGGUCAUCGCAGACAUUUGGGGAUGAAAGUACACCGGGAGCUGACCCCGUUGGGUUCCUAGCAUUAUGAGAGGGGGGGGGGAAAUCUCUCCUCAUCCACACUACACAAACUUUUGCACUUCUCUCCCCUUUUCUUGGCUUUUCUCUUAGCUAAAUAGUCCCAGCUGUUGUAACCUUUCCUCAUAGGGGCAUUGCUCCAGCCCCUUGAUCAUUUUAGGCCACAAUUUGACAGAAAGAAGCCCUACAACAUUUAUAUCUGGACUUCUUCCCUCUUGCAAGAGGCCCUAACACAGCUUUCAUCGUCCCUCCCCUUCCUCUCCAUUUCACCCUCACUACAACCUGGAUUUCCCAAGUCCUAUAGCCACUGCACCACACUGGCUUUCCAGAAAGCUACUGCGUCUUAAUUGCCCAUUCAAGAUGAAGUCAGCCCAAGAUACUUUGCAUCGCAACAGGGGCAGCUGGCAGCGACAUAUCAUUGCUGGGAAA